CUUAAAUUCCGCGUAAACAUCUCCAGUUCCAUCAAACCACAUCCAGAUCUUCAGAGAUCUCUCUCUCUCACACACACCACACACACACACACACAUCAGGACUCGGUGGGUAUGUUAGUGCAUGUGGGCGGACGUCGUGUCACGUCAGAAAUAUGGAACGAUUGACUAAUGAUAGGAAUUUCCAGUGAGUCAGAUUCGACAAUAAGAGACAAUGAGAGUCGAAUCUUUUGAUUUGUUUCGUGAAACCGUUCUCUUGCGUAUGUUUGGGGCUCGUUCGCAGAACAUGUUGCCGAUGCUUAGAACGUUCACGCAUUCAUUGACCCUUUCUUUUUCUCCCCCCAGACACUGGACAUCGAUCCUUUUAAUUGAGAACAUGUGGAGAAGCUGGAGGACAAGAACCAGAACUCCAUCUGUUGCAUGUUACAAACACACACACACACACACAUACACACACACGCACAAAUACUUUCUAGAACUAUUGAUUUACACCAAGAAGCUGGAGGUGCUUUUAAUAAGGCCCAAAAGUCCCUGGAUUUCUUACAGUAAUUGGCCGUAGAGGAACAAGACGAUGUAACCCAUGGCAACCCAGCGGAGAACGGCGUCAUUCACCUUAAAAUCAGAAACAGCAGAGGAGCAGGAGGAGAGAGAAAGAGAAAGAACUUCCAGAUUUCAGUCGAAGAUCACAGGCUCAGUAGGGAUUAAAGCACAGAUGAGAACAUGUUCUUUUUUCUAAAAA
Long non-coding RNA from Ictalurus punctatus (channel catfish), 736 nucleotides. Lineage: Eukaryota; Metazoa; Chordata; Actinopteri; Siluriformes; Ictaluridae. The record is from Ensembl.